RNAcentral lists this long non-coding RNA (221 nucleotides) under Mytilus galloprovincialis (Mediterranean mussel). The record is from RNAcentral. Lineage: Eukaryota; Metazoa; Mollusca; Bivalvia; Mytilida; Mytilidae.
GGGAUAAAGCGUCUAUAGUAUGAACACGCCCCUAUAAAACUUCUUACCUCCUUAACAGUAACAGGGUUUGGUAAUGUUUUUAUUGCUUCAACUUUGGCAUCGUCCGGUUUUACACCGUCGAUAUUGAUUUUAAAACCUAAAUAAUUAGUUUCUUCCUGCAAAAAUUGACAUUUCUUUAAUUUCAAUUUCAAAUUAUGUUGUCUUAAUCUGUCAAAUACUUG